AUACCGCAAAAUGUUAUAUGUUUUACUACAAAAAGUAGUUUCUACCAUAUAGAAGAGCUUUGGAAGUAGCUGGUGUGUGUUGUCCUGCCUGCUGACCGACCAUCGCCUAUUUUAGUCAUUUCAUAUCUAAUUUCAAGUAUAGGUGUUGCACAACAUUAACACAUGAUGGGCCCGGAUGAUAGUUGUUGCACAUCAGAAGCCCUAUUGUGUUCUUAAGAUGACAACAGGAAUGUGGUUGCUUGGUUUGUAUCUAAUCAUCCUGCUUCCUUUUCUCUUCCAACUGUAUUUCAUACUCCAUUUCCCAUGUUCCUCUUAUAGCAGGUGACUGUUGCCGGUAACAUGUUUGGUGUUUUUUUCAGUAAUUUUCUAUCAUUUUAGUUCUCUGUGCUUCUGAGAGCUUCCUUAACUGGCUUCGAUUUUUCCCUUUGCUUUUCCUUUGAAUUUCAAAACAAACCCUUUUAUGGUAGCCUCUUGAUGCUGAAGAGAUCUUGAUCAGAGUACAAAUUCGUGGUGAAACAUUUGAAGAAGUAGAUCGGGAAUGUAAAAUUUCUCCAUCUACUUUAGUUUUAAAAUAAAGACAUUCUCAAGAAAAAUAGCUUUCUGAAAACUGGGUGUCAAUUUGCUCUGUUCGGUGGUUUGCUAAGAUUUGACCGGGUUGCAGCUGCUGCUGCUGAGCGCUAGCCGCGACUUCCUUUUUCCCUCUCUGUUCCUGGCUUCCCGUUUCAAUUGUUACAUUCGUGACCAUGUGCCUGUUUGUGGCUUAUCUCCCUGUUUCUUUUGUAUUUGAGUGAAGCACCUAAUGAAGUUAUCUCAGUUUAUUACUUUGCAGUAUAUUGAAGGCUGCAUAACAUAUUCCGCAUCAACAUUACAGCAGGUAAGGGUAAGGUCUGCGUACACACUACCCUCCCCAGACCCCACUUGUGGGAAUAUACUGGAUUUGUUGUUGUUGUUUCUGCAAGCAGAGGCAGAAGUACCAGGGUUGUAGGAAAUGAAAUCAGCAAAAUCCAUGGUAUCGAAGCUUUGUUCUUUUCAUAUCUCAUCAGGAAGAUAGAUUAUUCUUUUAAUAGAUAUGAUUUUCCUUUGCUGGAUGUACUUCUCUUUGGGUUAGCCUAAACUAAUAAGAGAGUACAUAUAAAUAUAUUGUUUCACAAUAACACAUUAAACAAUAGAAUCUUUAUGUGUUAUUUGGGAAACAGCAGCUUACUAACCAAACAACCACCAUAAAUGUGAAAUGGGAACCACCAGGUAAAGGCUGUUACAAACUAAACACUGAUGGCUCAGGAUUGGGCAAUCCUGGAGCUGGUGGUAUAGGAGUUAUUAGGAACUGCAGGCGGGACUGGGCCAUUGGCUUUAGGGGUGGCCUUCCUCAUGCCACCAAUACAUUAACUGAACUAACUGCUCUUAUGCAGGGGCUAAAAUUAGCAGUUGAUAGAAGUUCACACCUCUGGAAAUAGCCACAGACUCGGUGGAGGUAAUCUGAAUGCUUAAGCAGUGGAGUGAUAAUUAUAACCCUAAUAUUAAAUAAUGCAGGCAGUUGAUGCAAAAGCUGGGAAGCUCAAUGAUCAAGCACACCUAUAGGGAGCAAAACAAAGUGGCACAUCUAAUGGUGAAAGAAGGUGCCAAGAAGUAACUUUUGGAAAUCAAACUAUGUUGAUAAUUCAUCCGAUGUUCGUGAAUGAAGUUUUUUGGGCAGCAUCCUAGGAACUCGUAUGAAAGAGAAAUAGUAAUUUGUAAUAGCUCUAGUAUUUUGGCACAAUAUUUGGUUUUGGGUGGGAAUCAUAAUGAUUCCCAAGUUUGCAUUAACCAGUACAUUUAAAGUAUAUGUAUCCAUUCACCCAAAAAAGAAAGAAUACACAUACUAGAAAAUAAGAGCUUACUCAUCUGGUUGGUUUAUAAAUCAAUAAUAGGUCCGCCUGAUAAAACAUCUA
Molecule: non-coding RNA, 1928 nt
Organism: Nicotiana tabacum (common tobacco)
Lineage: Eukaryota; Viridiplantae; Streptophyta; Magnoliopsida; Solanales; Solanaceae
Source: RefSeq, a predicted model, not a curated record